UGCUGCUGCUCCUGUUGCUGGUGCCAAGGGCCUGUCCCAGGCCAGUCCUACACAGAGGGAGGCCCAGGAGAAGAAAUCCUUAGGUGUUGAUGCAGAAGUUCUCCUGAGGACAGCCUUUGCUCCAUGGGCACACAGAGAGUCAGCAGCUUCCGUGGAACCAUACACCUACCCUCCAGUUUCUGUGAAGCCCGGUACCUCUCUCCCUGACCUCUGGAGAGAUGGACCAUCCAAGCAGGACAUCGCUAAGAAGAAAUUUGGGAACAAGAGGAAGAAUGUCCAGCCUGUGUUCGGAGGAGCUGGUGACCAAAACAAAGAAGCAGUCCCAAGGACCCAACUUCCAGCUCACAGGUACGUUCAUCAUGGAGGAUUCAGCAGUGGGGACUGUGACAUCCAAGACCCACAAGUUGCAGCAAACUUCCAGCCUUUGGCCUCAAGCCAGGGAAGUGUCACAGCCAGAGGCCCUGUGAUCUCUGGUGACCAGGAACCAUGUGUUCAUCGACAGAUACCAGAACUGCCAGAAUUGACACCUGAAUCAGAGGGCUGUCUUCGGUGUGUUGUGCUGUGAGACGAGGUGGAAGACCUUAAAGAUGAAGUAGUAGUGAUCCAGUACUUACACAAACAGUUCCAGAAUGUAUGAUGU
Long non-coding RNA from Ochotona princeps (American pika), 640 nucleotides. RefSeq lists it as uncharacterized. The record is from RefSeq and is a predicted model, not a curated record. Lineage: Eukaryota; Metazoa; Chordata; Mammalia; Lagomorpha; Ochotonidae. The transcript has 5 exons.